This 450-nucleotide ribosomal RNA is filed under the name uncultured organism. Its description in RNAcentral is "partial 16S ribosomal RNA". It matches the Rfam family "Bacterial small subunit ribosomal RNA", at positions 334 to 800 of the family's 1533-position model. The record is from RNAcentral.
CACUCCUACGGGAGGCAGCAGUGGGGAAUAUUGGACAAUGGGCGCAAGCCUGAUCCAGCCAUGCCGCGUGAGUGAUGAAGGCCCUAGGGUUGUAAAGCUCUUUCACCGGUGAAGAUAAUGACGGUAACCGGAGAAGAAGCCCCGGCUAACUUCGUGCCAGCAGCCGCGGUAAUACGAAGGGGGCUAGCGUUGUUCGGAUUUACUGGGCGUAAAGCGCACGUAGGCGGACUAUUAAGUCAGGGGUGAAAUCCCGGGGCUCAACCCCGGAACUGCCUUUGAUACUGGUAGUCUUGAGUUCGAGAGAGGUGAGUGGAAUUCCGAGUGUAGAGGUGAAAUUCGUCGAUAUUCGGAGGAACACCAGUGGCGAAGGCGGCUCACUGGCUCGAUACUGACGCUGAGGUGCGAAAGCGUGGGGAGCAAACAGGAUUAGAAACCCGUGUAGUCCCAUGA